AACGUAGGAUCCGAGCGUUAUCCGAAUUUACUGGGCGUAAAGCGUGUGCAGGCGGUUCGGUAAGUUGGAUGUGAAAUCUCCUGGCUCAACUGGGAGAGGUCGUUCAAUACUACCGGACUAGAGGAUGGUAGAGGGAGGUGGAAUUCCCGGUGUAGUGGUGAAAUGCGUAGAUAUCGGGAGGAACACCAGUGGCGAAGGCGGCCUCCUGGACCAUUCCUGACGCUCAGACACGAAAGCUAGGGGAGCGAACGGG
RNAcentral lists this ribosomal RNA (253 nucleotides) under uncultured bacterium. Its description in RNAcentral is "partial 16S ribosomal RNA". It matches the Rfam family "Bacterial small subunit ribosomal RNA", at positions 524 to 776 of the family's 1533-position model. The record is from RNAcentral. RNAcentral also lists the same sequence under 1 other name.